ACGCCGGGAGAGUUCCAGGAAGCGACGCCAGGAGAAGGUCGGCCACCGGACCGGGAGUCGGGUUCCGGACCUGAGCCACCAGGACUUCACCCGACCGGGGCCUCCUGCUAGCCCGUUCCUGUGCGUCGCCUGCCUACCUGAGCGUGCCGCCAGCUGCUCAAGGCCGGUGAGCUUCUGCGCCCGUGGGCAGGACGAGACCAGUCGGGCUACGGACCCGAGUUCUACGCCAGCUGCCCGGCCAGAACGCCGCCCCCGUCUGUCGAGCCGCCUGCUGCCCGAGGCCGGCGUUCGAGCUUCUGUGCCCGUGAGCACGACGAAAGCAGUCGGGCUACGGGCUCGAGCUCUAAACCUAGCUGCCCGGCCAGAACGCCGCCGCCGUCUGCUCGUGCCACCAAGCCACCUGCUUUACCUCUCCAUGCCAGAGCUGGCGCGCUGCGGUCGCCCGGUCAACCAACUUGCACAACGACCUUUGAUUGCCUGCUGUACAAGGUGCAUGUUCUGCGACGCCACGUAGUGCCGACGCCAGUCGGCGAAAAGCGUGCACCUAGGGUGGCGGGUACCGCAAGCUCACCUUGGUACCUGUAGGCAGGACUAUCAGGUCUCCACCAUGUGGUCCUUCGGGGAAAUCAAGAUCUUUUUUUUGAGCAUUGACAGCUCGAGCAAACAAGAGUGCAACCAGGUGGAGAGUGGCGACAGUGCUUUUCUGCUUCUUCAGCAGACUGCUGCUGAGGCGGCUCGGAUUCGGCCCCCAUGGAAUAGUACCCGGGACGUUUGCGGCACUCCUGAGGGAUGCUAUGCUCCAUGUGGACCAUGGAAUGCUCCACGUCAUCGGAGCUGUAGAAGCAUAUGCAAUCCAAGGAUUCAGUGUGCGUCAGAAAGCGUUCAUCGUGACGCUUCUCUACUCAGUGGUGGUGUCCAUUCUUUUCUAGUUCUUUUUUUUCGUUUGAAUAAAUUUUUUUUCUGAAAUUAUA
This is a non-coding RNA of Dermacentor albipictus, 971 nucleotides long. NCBI's taxonomy places the organism in Eukaryota, Metazoa, Arthropoda, Arachnida, Ixodida, Ixodidae. The record is from RefSeq and is a predicted model, not a curated record.